UACGUAGGUGGCUAGCGUUGUCCGGAAUCAUUGGGCGUAAAGCGCGUGUAGGCGGUCCGGUAAGUCCGCUGUGAAAGUCGAGGGCUCAACCCUCGAAUGCCGGUGGAUACUGUCGGGCUUGAGUACGGGAGAGGCGAGUGGAAUUCCUGGUGUAGCGGUGAAAUGCGCAGAUAUCAGGAGGAACACCGAUUGCGAAGGCAGCUCGCUGGAACGUUACUGACGCUGAGACGCGAAAGCGUGGGGAGCAAACAGG
RNAcentral lists this ribosomal RNA (253 nucleotides) under uncultured bacterium. RNAcentral describes it as "partial 16S ribosomal RNA". It matches the Rfam family "Bacterial small subunit ribosomal RNA", at positions 524 to 776 of the family's 1533-position model. The record is from RNAcentral.